This is a long non-coding RNA of Helianthus annuus (common sunflower), 743 nucleotides long. RefSeq lists it as uncharacterized. NCBI's taxonomy places the organism in Eukaryota, Viridiplantae, Streptophyta, Magnoliopsida, Asterales, Asteraceae. The transcript is spliced from 3 exons. The record is from RefSeq and is a predicted model, not a curated record.
CUGUUCGAAUGAAUGGCCGACCACUACCAUUUCAGUGGUGGCGUAUGGCGACGCGUGCACCAACGGGAGAAGAGAGACGAGGAAAGCGAGAGAUGAGAGAGAGAAAUCAGCGACGCCAUUCGUGGCGGCGGCGGCAGCGGGGUCUCGACUGUCCGACGACGCAUCGGUUGGGUUCCGACGGUUUGGGUCUCGCAACACAAUCGGUUCAGUUGAUUCCAGGUCGGGUUUCUAUUUCAAGUUCAAGUUUUUGCUUCGGUUUAUUUCGGUUCGAUGGUGUCGAUGAUGACAAUGAUGAUGGUUUUAUGCUAAUACCGCGCGUUGUCUGAAGUCAAGUCGCACCUUCGCUGGAGAAAUCGGAAUCUCAUCGGAGCCACGAACACACCGGACCUUACGUCGGAACUAGAAGACGUCGUCACGCGCAUAUUGGAACUCGUGUUCGUGAUCGGAUAACCGCUCUCGUUCAUUCUCUUGGACUUUACUCAGUUUCUUACUCGUGCGUUACUUACAAGAAAUCGCAAUGCAACCAAGGUGAGCAUACUCGAUCCCUUUUUACGCUUAUUAUAUUUGGGAUGCAAUACAUGUACCUUGAAUCAGUUACACAAACAUGCUAGUUUUCUUAUACAAAAUAAUCUCUAUAUUUGCUCAUAUGUGUAUUACUUGAAUUCAUACGUGUUAUACUUACAAUCAUACGUGUUAAAAUUCAUAAGUUUGUACUUAAUCACUGCCAUGGAAAAAAAAUUGGU